Molecule: ribosomal RNA, 247 nt
Filed under: uncultured bacterium
Lineage: Bacteria
Description: partial 16S ribosomal RNA
Rfam family: Bacterial small subunit ribosomal RNA
Source: RNAcentral
AUACGGAGGGUGCAAGCGUUAUCCGGAUUCACUGGGUUUAAAGGGUGCGUAGGCGGACAGGUAAGUCAGUGGUGAAAUCUCCGAGCUUAACUCGGAAACUGCCGUUGAUACUAUUUGUCUUGAAUAUUGUGGAGGUAAGCGGAAUAUGUCAUGUAGCGGUGAAAUGCUUAGAUAUGACAUAGAACACCAAUUGCGAAGGCAGCUUACUACACAACGAUUGACGCUGAGGCACGAAAGCGUGGGGAUC